UUUUUGCGACAGGGAUUGCAGCGGCAUCCUUUUGUGGAGCUUCAGCGGAACAAAAGAUAUAGCGGAAAGCCCGCCCGGUC
This 80-nucleotide small RNA is filed under the name Chryseobacterium profundimaris. RNAcentral's name for it is "Flavo-1 RNA". It matches the Rfam family "Flavo-1 RNA". Lineage: Bacteria; Pseudomonadati; Bacteroidota; Flavobacteriia; Flavobacteriales; Weeksellaceae. The record is from RNAcentral.